GGACUACCCGGGUAUCUAAUCCCGUUCGCUCCCCCAGCUUUCGCGCCUCAGCGUCAAGACAACCCCAGGAGACCGCCUUCGCCACUGGUGUUCCUACCGAUCUCUACGCAUUUCACCGCUACACCGGUAAUUCCAUCUCCCCCUAGUCGCUUCAAGAGAAGCAGUAUCCACCGACCCUCCGCAGUUGAGCUGCGGGCUUUCACAGCGGACUUGCUCCCCCGCCUACGCGCGCUUUACGCCCAGUAACUUCGGACAACGCUCGCCCCCUACGUAUUACCGCGGCGGCUGGCAC
Molecule: ribosomal RNA, 292 nt
Filed under: uncultured bacterium
Lineage: Bacteria
Description: partial 16S ribosomal RNA
Source: RNAcentral